GAUGAACGCUGGCGGCGUGCCUAAUACAUGCAAGUCGAGCGAACAGACGAGGAGCUUGCUCCUCUGACGUUAGCGGCGGACGGGUGAGUAACACGUGGAUAACCUACCUAUACGACUGGGAUAACUUCGGGAAACCGGAGCUAAUACCGGAUAAUAUAUUGAACCGCAUGGUUCAAUAGUGAAAGACGGUUUUGCUGUCACUUAUAGAUGGAUCCGCGCCGCAUUAGCUAGUUGGUAAGGUAACGGCUUACCAAGGCAACGAUGCGUAGCCGACCUGAGAGGGUGAUCGGCCACACUGGAACUGAGACACGGUCCAGACGCCUACGGGAGGCAGCAGUAGGGAAUCUUACGCAAUGGGCGAAAGCCUGACGGAGCAACGCCGCGGGAGUGAUGAAGGUCUUCGGAUCGUAAAACUCUGUUAUUAGGGAAGAACAAAUGUGUAAGUAACUAUGCACGGCUUGACGGUACCUAAUCAGAAAGCCACGGCUAACUACGUG
RNAcentral lists this ribosomal RNA (497 nucleotides) under uncultured bacterium. Its description in RNAcentral is "partial 16S ribosomal RNA". It matches the Rfam family "Bacterial small subunit ribosomal RNA", at positions 28 to 507 of the family's 1533-position model. The record is from RNAcentral.